RNAcentral lists this ribosomal RNA (497 nucleotides) under uncultured bacterium. RNAcentral describes it as "partial 16S ribosomal RNA". It matches the Rfam family "Bacterial small subunit ribosomal RNA", at positions 28 to 507 of the family's 1533-position model. The record is from RNAcentral.
GAUGAACGCUGGCGGCGUGCCUAAUACAUGCAAGUCGAGCGAACAGAUGAGGAGCUUGCUCCUCUGACGUUAGCGGCGGACGGGUGAGUAACACGUGGAUAACCUACCUAUAAGACUGGGAUAACUUCGGGAAACCGGAGCUAAUACCGGAUAAUAUAUUGAACCGCAUGGUUCAAUAGUGAAAGACGGUUUUGCUGUCACUUAUAGAUGGAUCCGCGCCGCAUUAGCUAGUUGGUAAGGUAACGGCUUACCAAGGCGACGAUGCGUAGCCGACCUGAGAGGGUGAUCGGCCACACGGGAGCUGAGACACGGUCAAGACUCCUACGGGAGGCAGCAGUAGGGAAUCUUACGCAAUGGGCGAAAGCCUGACGGAGCAACGCCGCGUGAGUGAUGAAGGUCUUCGGAUCGUAAAACUCUGUUAUUAGGGAAGAACAAAUGUGUAAGUAACUAUGCACGUCUUGACGGUACCUAAUCAGAAAGCCACGGCUAACUACGUG